GCAAAAUAAGUGUUCUGCAGCAGCCCAUCCCCAUCCCUGCAAACUCGUGAUUCAGACAAGCUCACUUCACGGGGCAGAUGGUAACUUUACAAACAGACAUGGCCACAAGCAGUGGAAAUGGCAGAGGAAAGAAGACAUUAUUUCAUAUUGAGGAGGGAAAGACAAACACACACACACCCUCCUCUGCCUGCUCCUUUCCUGGCAAGAACCCAGGUGAGUUGUGUAAACGAACAGCAAAAGCAUUCCUGGUCUUCAGAGAUCUCUGGAAGGAAUCCAGAGCUACACUCUUCUGUCUUGGCUCUCCCCGUUUUCUUGGUGUAAACUUAUGUAUUAACUACCUGACCGCCUUCUUGGAUUUCUGCAUGUCCUUUCUCAUUUUUUUUGCUUCUUCUGUCCACCCUGAUUGAUCGAGACCCAGAAGGAAAUAGAAUAAUAACAUCCCACUGACUCCCAGAUGACAGUCAAAGCCUUAGAGAAGAUGAAGGAAAAAAAAAAAAAAGUACUUGUCACACUCUCAUUAAUGGCAGAUGAGUUCAUCUUGACUAUGGCUGUGCAUCAUUCAAAAGCACCUUUGGCAGCAAUAAGCUCAUCAGAAACAAUUCACCAGCUCAUCGAUACUCAGCACUCCAAAACAAGUCUUCCCGAAGAGUUUUGCAGGCAUCCUUCCCAAGCCCUGGAGAACCACACCCAGAAAAUAAGCUAGUUUGUCAGCUAUGCUGAGUAUUUCAGAGCAGAUUUCAAAACAAAGCACAGAUCCCAGACCAACUGCUCCACACAGAUUGCUCUUCACAGCCUGAACACCAGCCAUGCGGAGCCACAGCUGCAUCGAGGCUUGCCUUUCUACUGGUCGCAUCAGGUCCUGCAGCUGCUGAUGCUUGCAGUGAUUACACCGAGUGAAGAGGAGUAAUCCAUUACCUUUAUCACAACACUUUUGAUCAUGACAGACAGAAGCACUCUAAACAUAGUACAUGAUUUAUUUGCAGCGCUUUCUAAUUUAGCCACUGAGACAAGUUAGUUACUGAGACUGAAUAUCAAGGAUAUCUCACAGUGAUUAGGUCAGCCUAGAGAAAGCAAUUUUAAUUUCAAGAUUGUAAGGCUUUUUGAGGAAAAAAAAAAAAAUCAGUGACAAUUAAGUCUCUGCUCACUAUUUUGCUAUUCUUCCUGGAUGUCAGGAGAGCACUGCCAAUAUAUGAUCACAUCAGGGGCUCUCAUUGCCUAGUACUGCUGUGUUCCUACCUACCCAGACAGAACAAUUAAAGAGUCAUUCAUGUAUAAUCACCUAAUUCAUAACUAAUGGCUUGCAGGUUUGCUGGGAACACUUUUAUUUGUUUCUCCAGUUCUCACGGGGAAAUGGCAAUUUUUGAGAGAGAGAGGCGACUGCAUGUAUGGGUUCAGAAUAUACGUGUCACUGAUGCAUGAAGUAUUUUCCGUGAAUUCUUCCUUCAAAAUGUGACUCCUUCAGUCCUGAAAUCCCCAGAGAUCCCUUGCUAGUCCCUUCUUUAAAACUUGCAUGGUGGUAUUUACAACGUAUAUUUGCCACAUACAGAUAUAUAAAUAUAUAUAAUGUGUAUGCAAAUGUUAGUGCAUCUGAAAAUUUUAGCCCAAAUCUGAGCUCUUAAAGGUAACUUCAAACUAAGGCUAAAUGCCAAGCAAUGUUUGAAGCAUGACAUGUUACAUGUUUAUAAACCCCUUAGGUUCUCUCAGAAAUUUCAUCUGCUGUCUAAAGAUUUGGCUUGGGCUUUAUCAGAUUUCAGCAGUUAUAACUCAAUACCAUAAAAAUGCCAGUAAUUGCUGUGUGUCUAUGAACCUGUGUUAACUAAUCACUACAUGUGCUAUUACAUCAGUCUAUUCUACUGUGAAAUGUCUUCUAAUUCUCCCUCAAGGAAUAAAAGAAAAAAAAAAAAAAAGAGAGAGAGAGGGAAAAGACAAGAGCCCUUUCUUCAAAUAUAGUGGGAAUAUACUGAGUAAAUAUGCAGUCAAUAACACCACAUGGCAGUUUUAUCAAUGACUUCUUUUGUGCUAGUAAGAUUUUUUUCAGUUUUGUUUUAAAGACAAUUUCUCUACUUUUGCAUUUUUAUUACUUCUUAUUAUUCAAUGUAUUGCAAAAUUUUGUGACUAUGACACUGAGGCUGAUCUUCAGACCAUCCCUUAAAUAACUGCACAUGACUUUUGGGACCUCAGUGCAAAUACUUAGUGGAGUGGAGUAAAUUUCCAAUUUACUUUGGAAGUCAUUGCAAUAAAGCACAAAAUAGGAUUUAUUAUUAUUUUUUAUUACUAUUAUAGGAGGCCAACGUUUUAAUUUGCCAGCAGUUUCAUUUGACUUUAUUUAAAUGUCCAUUCUCCAUAAAAUACUAAUAUCUAAUGCUGAAACACACACGUAGUACAUACAAACACAAGGGCAGGCACUCUCUUUCUCUGAAAUACCUAAAGCCUAAAACAGGUUAUCUGAAUGCAAGAGCAAAGUUGCUUAUUAGCUCAUUAGUCCAGAUCACUCUUCCAUAUAAGAGGAAGGUAACCUCGAUCCAAAUAAAAUUAUGCCUCUCCUGUUGUACAAUGCCAUGGAAGAUAUUUUUCUUUAUUCUGCUUCCCAGAAGUGAAGUUUAUGACCCAGAAUUUGAUGUUUGAUAUUGGCCAUAUAAUUUGUCUGCUGUAAAGCUGUUAAUGGUAGCAGAAUGAUCUAAUCCUUUAGAUCAUGCAAACCAUAAGUUUUAUGACAUGCUGUAGCGCUGAAUUUUGCAGAGUUGUUUCCUUUCAUUUGUUUUAAGGAUAUUUGAAUUUCCACUGCAUCUGAGUGUGGCUUUUAUUUUCCGGGAACCUAAAGCAAGACUUUAUCAUCCCUGUUUGCCCUGGUGAAGCAAGCUGAGAGCUAUCAAUAACCAUUCCAGACCUUUGCUUCUGAAGGAAAACUUCCUGGUUUAGAUACCUCAACAGCUGUGAACAGCCUAGAGUUUUCUCCCAUUGCAACUCAAGUCUGCACGUAUGCAAGUUAAACUGUACCUGCAACUUUGUUCACUGAACUAAGUCUUUCUAGAUUUUUUGUGCCCCCCUAAUUUUUCUUGAAGUGGAUAGUGAUAUGCAAUGACAUCAUCUUCAACUCAGUCUGAAAAUCACCAACAAAGAUUACACAAGAGCACGGAUCCCAGCAUGGAUCUCUGCAUGUCACUGUUAGGUCAUCUACAUUUUGAAGAACAGCCAAUACUUAAAACAUUUGAUUCUGUGCCAGUAUUUAAUUAGGGACAGAAGUCUACCUGUCUAGCAUAACAUAAAGUCCCUUUUUCUUACAAAUGUCAUCAAAACCUCUUAAAAAUGUGGAUGAUACAUGCCAGAUCUUUGCUUUUGAAUAUUUUAAAUGAAGUCUUCAAACAACUUCAAAGACCAGCUGAGGACUUAAAGCAGAAGUGUGUUGUUGGUCAGAUGAUGUAAUUUUGUUUUUCUAAGUUUAUGUUUCCGUUCUGAUUCCUCUGAAAUGCUUGCCCUCUGUGUAGGAUAUUGUGCAUUCACCUGUAAUUCCCCAGGUUACUCUUGGUUCCAUCUUGAAGGUGAGGCUUGUUGGCGACAGUUUUACAGCAACCAGGAAGAACUAUUUUAAGGGAUACAUUGCACGUGUUUGUCAGGAGCUUUCCAGUUUUGGAGCUCAGAUCCCUCACGGCUUGUGAUGAACACCACCUGGUCCUGGCAGUUCACUAGAAUUAAGCUUUGCAUGUUGUUCCAUGAUUUCCUCCCUUGAGAUUUCUCCCCUUCUUAACAGCAUACUAAGGAUGAGGGUUUCCCUUGGGUGAAAUCUCCUUGGGAUGAGAAUUUCAACACUGGACAUCAUUAGCCAAGUUUAAAUGCUUCAGGCAAUUAGCUUUUCUGCAGUCAUAUCAUUUGUCUAUAAACUUCCUUUUCUAUUUGAUCUCUGUACCUAGGGGUCCAAAGAAACAAGUGCAAUCCUUCUGCCUCAGACGUGUUAAUAAUUCUUCUGUGCUAACAGUUUCUGUUUCUGCCUUAAUUAAGAAAACCUCCUUAUGUAUAAGCUUAUAAGUUUGUGUGGAAUUUUACAGUGGGCUUGGAGAUAGGGGAUGCUUUGCAACUGGAUAAACGCAUUGAUACAGCUUGUACAGACACGUGAAAUCUAAAAGAACCAAAAAAGGCCACUACAAUAAAGCUGAUCUAACUCUCUUGCAGCACAAAUGGAGGGUCUCUCUGUUUCCUGAGUUCCCUUCUGAAUCCAUGUUUGGGCUCAUCCAGAAGUCAGCCCCCAGGGUGCUCACUUCCAGCUCACAGGCUUUACCCCUAGGGCAAAGGGGUGGCUUAGAGCAGUGUGGGUAUUAAAGAAGAUAAACACCCCUUAUGCAUUUCCAGCAGCACAGGAAAAGGAAACAGAAAAGGAAAAUGAAAAGGAAAAAGGAAAAAGGAAAAAGGAAAAAGGAAAAAGGAAAAAGGAAAAAGGAAAAAGGAAAAAGGAAAAAGGAAAAAGGAAAAAGGAAAAAGGAAAAAGGAAAAAGGAAAAAGGAAAAAGGAAAAAGGAAAGAAGGAUGCAGAAUCUGAAGAAGGUCAGUGUGGCAAAGAGAGGGACAUAGCUGACCAGUGGCUGCAUAUAAAAGUAUCCUUUUGUUCAAAGAAGAAAAACAUUGAUGGCAAAGCUGGGAAGAAGGAAAAUGGAAGAGGUUAAGAACAAGGACAUUUGCAGUGGGUUAGAAAGACAGAGGCACACUUUGGCCAGAUAGGUCAGCAGGCAAUGUAGCCAGCAAAGUGCUAAUCACACAAAAUAUGCUGCGUCUUUUUCAAAGAUGAGGAAGAUUUGGCUACAGACUCUAGAGGAGGCUUUACCCUAGGUAAAGGAAAUCUGUAGCACUCUUAUUUUCUCCCAGUGAUACGAGCAUGAGCACUCAUGAGCUCCAGUUGGCCCCACUGGGCUUCUGAGUUUCUGAGCAUUGCUACUGUGGAAGCCUGUGAGCAAGGCUUGCUGGCUACCAGGAAAACCAUCUUCUUCCUCUUCUCAAAAGUCAAGUCAGGGGGGGUCACACCAACUUUCUGCAAUGACAAGAAGCUUGCUGCCAAGCCCAGAUGCUCCCCCAAGUGACCUCGUUGAACUCAAAAUGUGACAAAGGGAAUGCUAACUGCCCUGAGCACUGGU
Molecule: long non-coding RNA, 5119 nt
Filed under: Anas zonorhyncha (Eastern spot-billed duck)
Lineage: Eukaryota; Metazoa; Chordata; Aves; Anseriformes; Anatidae
Description: lncRNA (ENSAZOG00000002065.1)
Source: RNAcentral